UCCCCCGAACCCCACUGUUUUAGUGGCUUUGCUCGUUUAAAAGCCAACCCCAAGCCCAAUCUCUUUAUUUCGGGGGAGUCAUUAUUGUUCAUAGCCUAUUACACGAGGAAUUAUUCCAUCAUUUCUCUCGAACACCCCCCUCCAUAGAACCAAAGGGGGGGAAAAAAAUCCCCGAACCCCUUUUCAUAUUCUUUUAUUUUUGUUUUAAAAAAAAGAUGGCGGCUAAGAAAAAGACUGCUGUUAAACCGGUCAUGAAGAAAUGCAAUAAAUUCCUUGUUGUUUUAUGAAAAUUUACAACUUUGUGAUAGAACUUUAUGAGUGGCUGGGUUCUGGGAUUGGCCAGAGCCGGUCAUGUGGACUGCUAACCGUGAACAUGAACUUUUUAUUAUUUCCCAUGUGGUUAUAUUGCACCAUUCUUCUGUCCGCUGCACCUUGGGUCGGAUCAGUGUCCUCUAUAGGGCUCUCUCCUCUUUACAUUUUUUUACUUUGGUGUAUAGGCUCGAUAGGUUUAAAGCAGGGGAGAGGGGAGGGGGGACGCCUAUCCACACAUCCACACACACACAUAGGCGCUCACAUCCUCACACCACACAUAGGAAAAGAGGCUUUUUUUUUUUUUUUUUCCUUUUUUUUUUUUUUUUUUUUUAAUUCCUCUGUUAAUUUGCCUGCCGAUUUGGAAUCUCAGUAGUAAUGGAGGGACAGUGGAGAUUCUGGACGGAGUGGCGGCUUUCAUUUUUCAAAGAGGGAAGUUACUCCAUUUUCUAUGCAAAUGACAGAAAUGCAAGAAGCUCUCACAAGUCAGAGAGGCAAUCGACGGCUAUCAGGUUGGGACAAUAUUUGUCAGCUAACAGAUAAGCAAACGCUGUCUCCCUCUCCCUAUAUAUUUUGCUUAUGCCACAGAAAUGGACGUCAAAAGAUCUGGAGCACACACGGCCGCAGAUCCAGGCACAGAGGAGUGCGUAUGAUAACGUGUGUCAUUUCAACCGCGUGUAAGGAACCGACAGACAGAUGGUUACAAAUUCGGAUGGGGAAAGAAGUCCUUCAUACGAUGCGAACGAUCAGUGGCACUUCUGGAUUUCAUUAUUGUUAUCCUUAUCGUUAUUAUCUUUUUUUUUCCUCUUUUUUUUUUUUUUUUUUUUUUUUUUUUUUUUUUUUUUUUUUUUUUUUUUCUUUUCUGUC
This 1176-nucleotide long non-coding RNA is filed under the name Chrysolophus pictus (golden pheasant). RNAcentral's name for it is "lncRNA (ENSCPIG00010009223.1)". The record is from RNAcentral. Lineage: Eukaryota; Metazoa; Chordata; Aves; Galliformes; Phasianidae.